GAUGAACGCUGGCGGCAUGCCUAACACAUGCCAGUCGGGCGGGAAACCCGGGAGACGGUGCUUCUAGCGUCGGCCGGGGGAGUAACGCGAAAACACCUGCCCCUUGCAUAUGAGCAACAGCUGACAACGGCAGCUAAUACCCCGUAGGCUGAGGAAUAAAAGAAGGAAUCCGUCAGAGGUGGGGGACGGGUUUGAUUAGCUAGUUGGUGAGGUACUAGCUUACCAAGGCGAUGAUCAGUAGCUAGUCGGAGCGGAUGAUCGGCCACACUGGGACCGGGACACGGCCCAGGCUCCUACGGGAGGCGGCAGUGGGGAAGUUGCCGCAAUGGGCGAAAGCCUAACGAGGCAAUGCCGCGUGGAGGUAGAGGGCCCACGGGUCGUGAACCUCUUUUCCCGGAGAAGAAGCAAUGACGGUAUCUGGGGAAUAAGCAUCGGCUAACUCUGUG
This 446-nucleotide ribosomal RNA is filed under the name uncultured bacterium. RNAcentral's name for it is "partial 16S ribosomal RNA". It matches the Rfam family "Bacterial small subunit ribosomal RNA", at positions 28 to 507 of the family's 1533-position model. The record is from RNAcentral.